UGAACGCUAGCUACAGGCUAACACAUGCAAGUCGAGGGGCAGCGGGAGAAAGCUUGCUUCUUGCCGGCGACCGGCGCACGGGUGAGUAACGCGUAUCCAAUCUUCCCCUUAGUAGGGCAUAGCCCGUAGAAAUGCGGAUUAAUACCCUAUGUUAUUCGUCGAGGACAUCUGAAGUGAAUCAAAGGUUUACCGCUAAGGGAUGGGGAUGCGUCCGAUUAGGCAGCAGGCGGGGUAACGGCCCACCUGGCCAACGAUCGGUAGGGGUUCUGAGAGGAAGGUCCCCCCACAUUGGAACUGAGACACGGUCCAAACUCCUACGGGAGGCAGCAGUGAGGAAUAUUGGUCAAUGGGCGCGAGCCUGAACCAGCCAAGUAGCGUGCAGGACGACGGCCCUAUGGGUUGUAAACUGCUUUUAUGCGGGGAUAAAGUGAGGGACGUGUCCCUUAUUGUAGGUACCGCAUGAAUAAGGACCGGCUAAUUCCGUGCCAGCCGCAGC
This 496-nucleotide ribosomal RNA is filed under the name uncultured bacterium. Its description in RNAcentral is "bacterial SSU rRNA". It matches the Rfam family "Bacterial small subunit ribosomal RNA", at positions 30 to 518 of the family's 1533-position model. The record is from RNAcentral.